This 72-nucleotide transfer RNA is filed under the name Bradyrhizobium phage BDU-MI-1. It matches the Rfam family "tRNA". Rfam says of the family: Transfer RNA (tRNA) molecules are approximately 80 nucleotides in length. The record is from Rfam by way of RNAcentral. Lineage: Duplodnaviria; Heunggongvirae; Uroviricota; Caudoviricetes.
GCCUGGGUAGCUCAGCGGUAGAGCAGCGGGGUCAUAAUCCGCUUGUCGAAGGUUCAAUCCCUUCCCCUGGCA